AUGCUCUGCUUGGUUUCAAAGCCAGACUUUGAACAUAGUUUUUUUUUUUUUUUUUUCCUUCUCUCUUUUACAUUUUUGACUCAUGACAAGAGGCAAAGGAAGAACUUCAACAAUGAGAGCAGGAUGCUGGCUCUAAAGCAGGUGAAGGCUACCGGAAGAAGCCUUAAAAGGAUAAUUUAUCAACUAGAAAUCGCCAUAUACCUAAAGCCACCAGAGGGAACACUGCGCGUCUCCAAGACUCUAUCAGUGCCGGGCCCAUGCAGGAUGUUUCAGCACCGACACUGCAACACAUCCUGGAGGGCCUCUCUUUGUAUCCGGGGCGUCCCGAAAGGCCCAGGGGUCCAACGCUUGGUUCCCAGCUGGUGUUAUUGCAAGAUGGAGCUCGGGAGGUGGGGCUUGUGGGCGGAAGUGAGGUCAUGGGGCGUGACCUUGCAGGCACUAUCAGAACUUCGGUGUGAAACAAAAAUACAAUACAAAGUUUGUACAUGUUCACUCUGGGGGGCUAAGACAGGAGGAUCACAAGUUUGAGCCCAGCCUGAAUAACUUAGUGAAAUAGUUAGACCUUGUUUUAAAAUAAAAACUAGAAAUAAAAAAGGGCUGGGGAUGUAGUUCAGUGUGAAGAUCUUCCAUUCAAUCCCCAGUAUGAAAAGGGUGUUGAUUUAUGGCAUUCAGUGUGAGAUUUCAAUCCAUGGAAACAUUGUGCAGUGUUCAAAGUAGAUUAAAUCUGUUCAUGCAUUUAUCAUUUUUUGAUAAAAGCAUUCAAAAUCCUUUCUCC
Molecule: long non-coding RNA, 775 nt
Filed under: Chinchilla lanigera (long-tailed chinchilla)
Lineage: Eukaryota; Metazoa; Chordata; Mammalia; Rodentia; Chinchillidae
Description: lncRNA (ENSCLAG00000026603.1)
Source: RNAcentral